AUGAAAAAUCGCCAUGGAAGCCCGGCCAUGAAGACCCUGCCCGUCCUCAGUGAUGCAACGGGUUCGGGCCUGUCGGGACGAGCCUCUUCUCCACGCCGUACCGCGGGUCGACCUCCUCGCCGUCCCCGGGAGCGGCAGACGGUGGCAGUCUCUGCCAGUUCCAUUUGCUUGGGAGGCGGUGGUGCCGUUGACGUUGGUGGCGACCACCACGAUGGUGAUGAUGGUGGUGGUGCCGCUGUUGAUCCUGUGGAGCACCGGCGGCCGACGAGGGGUCGAGGCUCCGGCUCUCCACGACGAGAAGCAUCUUCCUGGGAAGAGAGGCCGGAUGAUCCAGCUGGACCGCCAAGCCUCCGCACCGGAGGAGGCCGCCGCCGCCGCAGCCGUGGAAGGCGAAGGUGA
This 399-nucleotide ribosomal RNA is filed under the name Triticum aestivum (bread wheat). RNAcentral describes it as "partial small subunit ribosomal RNA". The record is from RNAcentral. Lineage: Eukaryota; Viridiplantae; Streptophyta; Magnoliopsida; Poales; Poaceae.